GGCAAGGGAGCCCGGCCAGCCAGUCCACCAGCCCUUGUUGUUGGGAAUGGACAGACAAGUGGGAGGCCGGUCAGGCAGGCUGCCACUGUUGCCUCUCAAGGUAAGGUGCUGGCCUUACAUUCACCUUUAGCCAGUCUCCGUUGGGCCACUAAGGCUGGGGACAUCCUCUUCCCUGGCCCUUGAAAAAGGGUGAGAGGAUGUUGGCUCUGCAGGCAAGGGUUGACAUAACUGGGCUCCUGAGCUCCACAGGGAUGCUACAGAAAUAAUGUAGUUGGUCAAGGGAGCCAUGGACUCAAAAAGCUGGAAGGGUGAGCAUGUAUGCACUCAAAGAAGGAAACCUGGAAGAACUGCCUUGAACUAUCUGGUCCUGGGUUGUGUCUCUCAGCUAGGGGUGGAAGGAUCAGUCAUUUCCCCCUCUCUCAGUUUCUAAUUUUUCCAGUCUCAGAUUCACUUCUUCCCAUUUCUGCAGCCAUUUGCAAACAAUCGUCAUCAUCACCUUCAUAAACAUUCAUCAGCAUUUUAGUGUGAAUUUCUCGUAAUGCAUACAUAGUUUACAUACAUACAUACAUACAUACAUAAAUUACAUACAUAAUUUUAUCUGUAGGUCACCUUUCCGUAGCUAAAGCCGUACUCAAGGUGGCUUACAACAUGAAAAAGUUACAAUUUCAAGCAAAGCAAAAGUAGUCAUAAACAAUAAGUAAAUCAUCCAAAGGUACACAACCAAAUUAAACAAUUUCCACACAAAUAAUAAGAUCUAAAAUAAAUAUACCACACACAAAAAUGCUCCCCUGCCCAUACAGCAAAAAAAAAACCCUAAACAAUACCCCAACCCAAGAGUCUGUUCAGUUCCCCUCAGCUUCUGUAGCUGGAGUCAGUCAGGGCCCCAACCUGCCAGGCCAGGUAGAAAGGGGCCUACAAAGCUGGGAACAGGUCUUCCAGGACUCAUAGGGCCGUGACCUUACAGAUUACUCCCAUUUUUUCACCCAAAGAGUACUGUUGGAUUGUAUGUGUGUGGUUUAUAUUGUAAUGGCCAUUGACUAACGCCAAAAACAGACUGACUCUACUCCUGUCUUUUUAUCCUCUGAGGAAUGGAAAGCAUUCCCUGGGAAAGUCGGUAAGAACCCGUAAGAGUCCUACAACCCCCAUCAUAAACAGUUUCAUAAUCUUGCUUUUUACUGGCAAGCACCUAAACUUACAUAGAUUAUUUGAAUGUUUAAAGACCAUUUUUGUAAUGCGGGAGAAGGGGGAAUUCAAAACCACAGGGUGAUGCAUGCGCAUAUAAGGGAAAUGUGUUCGCUUCAGUUAUGUUUAUGCCACUUCUGCAAAGCAGAUGUUACCAGGCUUUCUGUGUGAGAUUCUUCUGCAGUGUUCUGUUAAAGAGUUUUAUGAAGCCCACCUGCUGUGUACUUCAUGCACAGAGGCACCUUUUUAUGGUGCUUUUAAAAUGUUGAUGGCUUUCUUGGUGGCUGUGAUGCUUACAAAGAACCUGUGAAACAAUUUAGGAACGAAAGAGGAAGAAAUCCAUACCUGAAGAUACUGCAACGAGAAACAACUCUGCUUUAGACAAAAAUGUGUUUGCCCUUGUUAACUGUCUCACAUUGCUUACAACCAGUAUCUCCACAUCUUUAUCGGAAGCAGCAGGAUGAAUUGUAUCGGUCCUGACACUGAAUAAAAUUAGUCUUAAACGUGCUGCUUACUUAACUGUUUAGGGUUUGGGGGGGCUCAGCGUUAAAGGAAUCCAUGAAAUCCCUCAUGUUUCAUGAACUUGGGUGUGGUUGCCACAGGGGAAAAAUGCUACUGUACAGUUGGGGUUCCAAAUGGCAGCUAGAUAACUUUGAAAAACACCCCCAGGCAUGGAACUGUUAAGGUAAAUGGUUUAAUUUCCUG
Non-coding RNA from Podarcis lilfordi (Lilford's wall lizard), 1887 nucleotides. NCBI's taxonomy places the organism in Eukaryota, Metazoa, Chordata, Lepidosauria, Squamata, Lacertidae. The record is from the annotation of a GenBank genome assembly.